This 279-nucleotide ribosomal RNA is filed under the name uncultured archaeon. RNAcentral describes it as "partial 16S rRNA". It matches the Rfam family "Archaeal small subunit ribosomal RNA", at positions 1047 to 1325 of the family's 1478-position model. The record is from RNAcentral.
GAGACCCACGCCCACAGUUGCCAGCGUUCCCUCCGGGGAGAUGGGUACACUGUGGGGACCGCCGCUGCUAAAGCGGAGGAAGGAAUGGGCAACGGUAGGUCAGUAUGCCCCGAAUGUCCCGGGCUACACGCGAGCUACAAUGGUUGGCACAAUGGGCAUCGACCCCGAAAGGGGAAGGCAAUCCCCUAAACCUGCCCUUAGUUCGGAUUGUGGGCUGCAACUCGCCCACAUGAAGCUGGAAUCCGUAGUAAUCGCGGAUCAACAUUCCGCGGUGAAUAU